This is a long non-coding RNA of Podarcis raffonei (Aeolian wall lizard), 1896 nucleotides long. RefSeq lists it as uncharacterized. The transcript is spliced from 3 exons. Lineage: Eukaryota; Metazoa; Chordata; Lepidosauria; Squamata; Lacertidae. The record is from RefSeq and is a predicted model, not a curated record.
CGAUAGAAUAACAGUAUCAACGGGAGGGGACGUAUCAAGGAGAUCUGCAAGGGAACGCGGAGCACCCAGGAGAGCCGCUGGAGAUAUCUUCAUACUUGACAUUUUCGACCAGUUUCCAGAGCAUGAUGGCGGGCUGUUCUCUAGGAGCUAUAGAGACUUUGGAAAUUGAGGCUUUAAUUGGCGAGUGGAGGGAUCUGAACAUUUUGCACGAGGAGGCAGCCCUCGCCACGCAAAUGAGCAGGUUUCCUUUUGAAAAAACCGCACUUUUAUAGGCAAGACUGAUUCGCAAAUUGCGCAAAUUUGAUAUCACGGGAAAAUAUUUAAACAAGUUAUUUGAGGCCUAAGAGUUCCCGCCUCAAGCCUAUGCCUUGGCAAGCGAGUCCACCCAAAUUGCAGACUUCUGCCUAAGGAAUGGUGUUUAGGGCUGGAGCAUAAGAGAGCUUUGUUUUAGGAUCGCGUGCACGUAACUUUUAACUGACUUGUCCAAGCAGGAACAUUCAGCAUUUUGGAAGAACUGCAGUCGAGGGGAGCUGCCUUCCGACGGCUUAUAGAGACCCUAAAACCCUUAUUAAUGGAAGGCUUGCAAGAGAAAGGCUGAAAACGAUCAUUCAGCAGAGUAACAGCGCCCUCUGUAGGACACUGAUAUUUUGCGGUCGCCGCGGCGAAACCGCUCUUCCCUUUAGUGAUAAUACAAGUAUAAUUAAAAUUAGUCUUUCAAUUUAUUAAAAAAGAAUGAGGACCUUUGUGAUGAAUAAGCAGUAAGCUAUAAAGAGUUGUCCCACGCAUCGCUUCAAAGAAAUUCCAAAGUGAAAAUAAAGUGAACAACUAUGGAGUCGUACAUCUUUUUUCUGCAAAUACUAUACAGAGAUUUAGGCUUCUUUUCAUUUCUGUGUUGAUUGUUACUAGCCUGAUGUAUAAAAGAAGGCUUUACUCAAAGCUGAUGGCAGGUCCACACACAGCCGUAAUACUCAUGGGGCCGGUGCAACUGCAGACAUCGUCCUCACCGUCGUCUGCUCCAUCAGCUUUAAAAAAAAUGAAACUUAAAAAAAUGAAAAUAAAUAAAUAUAUUGUUUCCAGUGGAACACUUUGUUCUUGCAAGGUCUCGUUGAGAUGUUGCAUACCCAUUCAGUUGUGUUGAGUUACUCAGUCUCGGUCUCUCUCACACACGCUUUGUGUGUGCGUGCAUGCGCGCGCUGCUAAAGCCAAAGUGUAUCUAUAUAACAAGGGAUGGCAGGUGUUGGAACUAGGCUGUCUUCUUGGCUUUUUUUCAACGAUUUAUUCCGGCGCCCUCUGCUGGUAGUCACAAAACACGUUAGCACCAUAAUGUAAAAACUUAGUGCAGGCAUCCCCAGCCUUCGGCCCUCCAGAUGUUUUGUACUACAAUUCCCAUCAUCCCUGACCACUGGUCCUGUUAGCUAGGGAUCAUGGGAGUUGUAGGCCUAAACAUCUGGAGGGCCGCAGGUUGGGGAUGCCUGACUUAGUGCCCCCCACUGUAAUUUUGUGUACGCCAUGAAUUUCUCUCUUUUCAUUUUAUUACAUUCAGAAUCAACAUCUGACAAAUCCUUUACAACUGAAUCCUAUUUAGCAACAUUCCCCAGAUGUUUUUAGUGAUUCUUAGAAAUACAUCAUCAUCAUUAUCAUCAUCUCACAGAUUGUACAUAUUUUGCAACCACAAUCUAACCCUUAGAGCAGUGGUUUUCAACCAGGGUGCCUUGACACCCUGGGAUGCCUUGAAUGAUGGUCAGGGCAACACUGGCACUGUCUGUCUUUCCUUCCCUCCCUCCUCUGAUGCCUUCUGGUGUCUCUGCCUCCCAAAGGCUUGCACAGCUGUUUACUGUGAAUGUUGCCUCUGGGAGGUACAUCUCUUUUGGGAGUGGGGGGGGCAGUUCAGAGACC